RNAcentral lists this ribosomal RNA (253 nucleotides) under uncultured bacterium. RNAcentral describes it as "partial 16S ribosomal RNA". It matches the Rfam family "Bacterial small subunit ribosomal RNA", at positions 524 to 776 of the family's 1533-position model. The record is from RNAcentral.
UACGAAGGGAGCUAGCGUUGUUCGGAAUCACUGGGCGUAAAGCGCACGUAGGCGGAUGUGUCAGUCAGGGGUGAAAUCCUGGAGCUCAACUCCAGAACUGCCUUUGAUACUGGGAAGCUCGAGUCCGGAAGAGGUGAGUGGAACUCCGAGUGUAGAGGUGAAAUUCGUAGAUAUUCGGAAGAACACCAGUGGCGAAGGCGGCUCACUGGUCCGGUACUGACGCUGAGGUGCGAAAGCGUGGGGAGCAAACAGG